GAAGGCGCUCUGCUGGGCCAUCACUGACGCUCAUGGACGAAAGCCAGGGGAGCGAAAGGGAUUAGAUACCCCUGUAGUCCUGGCCGUAAACGAUGAACACUAGGUGUCGGGGGAACCGACCCCCUCGGUGUCGUAGCCAACGCGUUAAGUGUUCCGCCUGGGGAGUACGCACGCAAGUGUGAAACUCAAAGGAAUUGACGGGGGCCCGCACAAGCGGUGGAGUAUGUGGUUUAAUUCGAUGCAACGCGAAGAACCUUACCAGGGUUUGACAUCCUGCGAAUCUCUUGGAAACAGGAGAGUGCCUUCGGGAACGCAGUGACAGGUGGUGCAUGGCUGUCGUCAGCUCGUGUCGUGAGAUGUUGGGUUAAGUCCCGCAACGAGCGCAACCCACGUCUUUAGUUGCCAGCAUUUAGUUGGGCACUCUAGAGAGACUGCCGGUGAUAAACCGGAGGAAGGUGUGGAUGACGUCAAGUCAUCAUGCCCCUUACAUCCUGGGCUACACACGUACUACAAUGCUACGGACAAAGGGCAGCAAGUUCGCGAGGACAAGCAAAUCCCAUAAACCGUGGCUCAGUUCAGAUCGUAGGCUGCAACUCGCCUACGUGAAGGCGGAAUCGCUAGUAAUCGCAGGUCAGCAUACUGCGGUGAAUACGUUCCCGGGCCUUGUACACACCGCCCGUCACACCAUGGAAGUUGGCCACGCCCGAAGCCGUUACUCCAACCCUUGUGGAGGAGGACGUCGAAGGUGGGGCUGAUGACUGGGGUGAAGUCGUAACAAGGUAACCGUA
This 788-nucleotide ribosomal RNA is filed under the name uncultured bacterium. RNAcentral describes it as "bacterial SSU rRNA". It matches the Rfam family "Bacterial small subunit ribosomal RNA", at positions 717 to 1504 of the family's 1533-position model. The record is from RNAcentral.